RNAcentral lists this ribosomal RNA (1614 nucleotides) under Staphylococcus aureus. Its description in RNAcentral is "partial 23S ribosomal RNA". It matches the Rfam family "Bacterial large subunit ribosomal RNA", at positions 923 to 2538 of the family's 2925-position model. The record is from RNAcentral. Lineage: Bacteria; Bacillati; Bacillota; Bacilli; Caryophanales; Staphylococcaceae.
GGCCCCUCUCGGGUUACCGAAUUCAGACAAACUCCGAAUGCCAAUUAAUUUAACUUGGGAGUCAGAACAUGGGUGAUAAGGUCCGUGUUCGAAAGGGAAACAGCCCAGACCACCAGCUAAGGUCCCAAAAUAUAUGUUAAGUGGAAAAGGAUGUGGCGUUGCCCAGACAACUAGGAUGUUGGCUUAGAAGCAGCCAUCAUUUAAAGAGUGCGUAAUAGCUCACUAGUCGAGUGACACUGCGCCGAAAAUGUACCGGGGCUAAACAUAUUACCGAAGCUGUGGAUUGUCCUUUGGACAAUGGUAGGAGAGCGUUCUAAGGGCGUUGAAGCAUGAUCGUAAGGACAUGUGGAGCGCUUAGAAGUGAGAAUGCCGGUGUGAGUAGCGAAAGACGGGUGAGAAUCCCGUCCACCGAUUGACUAAGGUUUCCAGAGGAAGGCUCGUCCGCUCUGGGUUAGUCGGGUCCUAAGCUGAGGCCGACAGGCGUAGGCGAUGGAUAACAGGUUGAUAUUCCUGUACCACCUAUAAUCGUUUUAAUCGAUGGGGGGACGCAGUAGGAUAGGCGAAGCGUGCGAUUGGAUUGCACGUCUAAGCAGUAAGGCUGAGUAUUAGGCAAAUCCGGUACUCGUUAAGGCUGAGCUGUGAUGGGGAGAAGACAUUGUGUCUUCGAGUCGUUGAUUUCACACUGCCGAGAAAAGCCUCUAGAUAGAAAAUAGGUGCCCGUACCGCAAACCGACACAGGUAGUCAAGAUGAGAAUUCUAAGGUGAGCGAGCGAACUCUCGUUAAGGAACUCGGCAAAAUGACCCCGUAACUUCGGGAGAAGGGGUGCUCUUUAGGGUUAACGCCCAGAAGAGCCGCAGUGAAUAGGCCCAAGCGACUGUUUAUCAAAAACACAGGUCUCUGCUAAACCGUAAGGUGAUGUAUAGGGGCUGACGCCUGCCCGGUGCUGGAAGGUUAAGAGGAGUGGUUAGCUUCUGCGAAGCUACGAAUCGAAGCCCCAGUAAACGGCGGCCGUAACUAUAACGGUCCUAAGGUAGCGAAAUUCCUUGUCGGGUAAGUUCCGACCCGCACGAAAGGCGUAACGAUUUGGGCACUGUCUCAACGAGAGACUCGGUGAAAUCAUAGUACCUGUGAAGAUGCAGGUUACCCGCGACAGGACGGAAAGACCCCGUGGAGCUUUACUGUAGCCUGAUAUUGAAAUUCGGCACAGCUUGUACAGGAUAGGUAGGAGCCUUUGAAACGUGAGCGCUAGCUUACGUGGAGGCGCUGGUGGGAUACUACCCUAGCUGUGUUGGCUUUCUAACCCGCACCACUUAUCGUGGUGGGAGACAGUGUCAGGCGGGCAGUUUGACUGGGGCGGUCGCCUCCUAAAAGGUAACGGAGGCGCUCAAAGGUUCCCUCAGAAUGGUUGGAAAUCAUUCAUAGAGUGUAAAGGCAUAAGGGAGCUUGACUGCGAGACCUACAAGUCGAGCAGGGUCGAAAGACGGACUUAGUGAUCCGGUGGUUCCGCAUGGAAGGGCCAUCGCUCAACGGAUAAAAGCUACCCCGGGGAUAACAGGCUUAUCUCCCCCAAGAGUUCACAUCGACGGGGAGGUUUGGCACCUCGAUGUCGGCUC